CUUAUAUCUAAGGCUUAAUGUAGGGCCUAUUUCUAACCAUUUCUUUACAGUAUGAAAUCAUUGAUGAUCUUCUUCCUUACCCCUCCUCCUGCAUCAACCAGACUGCAUUCAAAGUGACAGAAAACUUGAAGCAAAUAACCAAAUGACAAUCUUUUUUUGUGUUUUCUAAAGUGGUAUUGAUGUAAGGUGUGACUGAAAAUUCUGUGGAUGAUUUGAUAACAGCAACAGCUUUCAAGGUUUUUAGUGGAAUGUCGUAAUGUCAACAAGGAUGAGGGGGAUUAAAUAUCUGGUGGAAUACACACAGCACAAGUAAAACAAAACUCUGUUAAAGAAGAAACCAAAUUUAUUGAGAUUAUAGUUUGUUUUCUUCUGGACACAAAGUAAAUGCUAACUUAAAAUAUCAAGCAGAAGAUGUUUGCUAGAGAAAAUGCCAAAAUCCAAGAAACAUUCAUUCCAUAAUUAAUGUGUACCCUCCCUAGGCCCUGAGAAAAUAAUUUGUUUUACCUAGAAACAUGAAGUAUCUUGCUCCUGGUGCCGUUGAGCAAUUGAAAUUGGUUAACACUCAUGUUUGGUGGGACUUGGCACAGAACAUAGUUUAGGCACCAUGCCAUCUGAACAGAUGGCCAGAAGCCUGGCAAGAAAGCCGGAUAUAAGUAUGUGACUGAAAUUUUAAAUGGCAGAGCCAGUUGCCAAAUCCCAAAUAUUUCCAGUUACCCCUCCAAAACUUCUGACUCAACCUAAGAUUAUGCCCUGAGCGCAUUCCUGCACUCAAAUCCCACUAGAAAUCUUCUGGCUAGAAAAUCUUGGUCAAUUGCUGAAUCAAAGGAGACUUUGAAGGAGAAGGGAAAGGUGUUUAGUUUGACAGUUGCUCUAAUUGUUUUUCUUUAAAUAACAAUAGUUUAAGACAGAAUUUCACCACAGUGACCAAUAUCAACUCUUUAAAUUUUAAAGUUCUUUUUUUCCUGACAUGCUAGUAGACCCAAGUUUCCUUGAAUGUACUUUCUUCCAGUGAGAAUGAGUUUUAUGGAGCAAUGCUCAUCCCAAAUCAUUCCAAUGUAAAGAAGCUCACCAGGAUUAGAAAUAAAGUACAUUCUGAAGAUUUAUCCCAUCACACGGCUAACUGGUGCAUAUAAAGUCUAGCCAUUGUCCUUGCCCUCUUUGAUUCUGGGUUUGAGCCACUUAAGCUGGCUAGUUUGAAUGAAAAUAGUUAACUCCUCUGUUACAUAGCCUUUCCAUGUCAACAGUCUGAAAACGUUUAAGGAAUGUCUUUUACUUUGGAGAUCCCUAAAGUUUCAACACAAGACUGAGACAUCCCUGGACAUACUCUCAGGCCACCUGAGACAAUUUUCCCAGAGUUCUCUGAAGUGCUAGAGAGAUUUGAUCAAAACAAAUUCUCAGAAUAGAGAAAGCCAUUAGACAAGCUGGCCUCUGUAAAAUUAGAGUCUUAGUUUUUGGAGCCAGAGACCUCUGACAACCUUGUAACAAGACUGGGACAUCUCAGAGAACUAUCUCUUUAGGCAAUCUAAAAAAUCCUAGAUCCUCUUGAAAUAAGUCCCAGAAUUAAAUCCUGGCAUAUACAGUCAACUAAUAUUCAUCAGGGGAGUCAAAAGUACUCAAUAGUGGAAGGAUGAUCUCCAAGAAACGGCACUAGGAAAACUGGAGAAACACGUGCAGAACAAUGAAAUUGGAACCCUAUCUCACAUCACUCACAAAAAUUAACUCAAAACGGAUAAAAGACUUAAACAUAAGACCUCAUACAGCACAAUUCCUAGCGGAAAAUAUAAGAAAGAAGCUCAUAGAUAUUGGUCUUGGCAAACAUUUUUUUGGACAUGACAAAAGCACAAACAACAAAAGCAAAAAUUAACAAAUGUGACUACAUGAAACUCAAAGCUUCUGCAUAGCAAAAGAAACAGUAAAAUAAAAAGACAACCUACAGAAUGGGAGAAAAUUUUUGCAAACCAUAUAUCAGAUAAGAUGUUAAUAUCCAAAAUAUAUAAAGAACUAACAUAAUUUAAGAAAAAUCCCAAGCAAUCCAAUUAAAAAAUGGGCAGAAGAACUAAGUAGACAUUUUUCCAAAGAGUACAUCAAAAUGGUCAGCAGGUACAUAAGAAGAUGCUCAACAUCACUAAUCAUCAGAGACAUGCAAAUAAAAACCACAAUGAAAUAUCACCUCAUACUUGUUAGAAUGGCUAUCAUCCAGUAGGCAACAGACAAUAGGUGCUGGCGAGGAUGGGGUGAAAAAAGAACACAUACAGUCCCUGUUGGUGGGGAUGUAAAUUAGUCCACCCACUAUCUAAAAAAAUAUGAAGAUUCCUCAAAAAAUUAAAAAUAAAUCUACCAUAUGAUCCAGAACUUCCACUUUGGGGAAUACACUGAAAGAAGAUGAAAACAGGAACUUGACAAGAUAUAUGCACCCCUAUGGUUAUCACAGCACUAUUCACAAUUGUGAAGAAAUGUAAACAACCCAAAUGCCCAUCAAAAAAUAAAUGGAUAAAAAAAUGUGAUAUAUAUAUAUACAUAUAAAAUGGAACAUUCAACUAUGACUAAGGAGGAUAUCCUGCCAUUUUGAUAACAUAGAUGGACCUUGAGCAUUUAUGUUAAUUAAGAUAUACCAUAAAAGGAAGACAAGUACUAUAUGAUAUCACUUAUAUGUGGAAUCUAAAAGAAUCAAAUAUGUAAAAAAACACAGAGUAGAAAUGAUGGUUACCAAAGAAUGGGGCAUGGGGAGAUAAGAUUGAUGGUGUUUAAGGGUAUGAAUUUGUAAUGCGUACUAAAGUAGCCAUAGAAAUUUAACUUACAGUUUGUUGAACAUAGACAACAAUAUUGAACUUUAAGUAUGCCAUGUAAUAAAUAUUGUUACAAUGGCAACCAUAUUACUGUAUAUAAAUGUAUCAAAGUAACAUGAUGUACACCUAAAAUUUACACAAUGUUACGCAUGAAAUUUAUCCAAUAAAAAAAAGUGCAGCAAAGAAAUAAAAGUGAUAAAACUGGAAGUAAAAUUCAAAUGGAAUAUAAAUGAAGUAUAGAAGAAAUAGCUGCCUGGGAAUAUUGACACUGUGUUUGAGAGAUUUUAGCUAUGCAGCCAGAAGAAGUUAGCAAAGGUAAAUUUAUUGAUAUAAAUGAUAAAGCUGUUGUGAUAAAAAAGGAUGAAGAUAAUGCGGAGGAAGUGAUGUCAGCAGAAACUUAUACAUUAAAGAAACUCUCGGAUGUGUUUCAUGACUGUCAAAGCACAAAGGAUAAAACAUUGGAAGUUGAUCCAAAUUUAGAAAGGAGUAUGAUGAUUUACUACAGUAUAGAAAAGUAUGUUAUACGAGAGGAAAGCAAGCACUGUUCAAACUAUUCAACAAUCUUUUUCAAAGAUAAACACCUUUCUGUGUUUCUUUCCAGCCAUUUUACGCAUAUGUAAUAUAUUUGCAUAAUUUGGGAGUUUGGAGAAAAAAUAUUUUUGUUCUUGAAAAUUCAACCCAGAGGCACUCUUGAUUUUUUUCUCUGCAUUUAUUUGACUAAAAAUAUGUUUAAAGCUAAUAAAGUAGUUUCCAAAUGAACAUGUCUAAAUCUAAAUAAAGGAACUCUGUCAAAUGAAUGGUUUAGACCAGAAGGCCUAACAAGUUUCCAUCUAAAAUAAUUGUUCUGGGAAUUCUAGUGCAGGAGAUGGAAGUAAGCAUAACUUAUAAAAAUUGUCCUGUGACCAAAUGUUUAGUAAAUACUUUAUUAAACUUUGCUGCAUGACUUAUCAAAUUGUGUGUGUGUGUGGUGUGCGGAAGAUUGCCCCUGAGCUACCAUCAUUGCCAAUCUUCCUCUAUUUUAUGUGGGAUGCUGCCACACCGUGGGUUGAUUAGCUGUGCUAGGUCUCUGCCCAGGAUCCAAACCUGUGAACCUUGGGCCACUAAAGUGGAGUGCACAAACUUAACCACUGUGCCACCAGGCUGGCUCCUCAAAGAAAAUUUUUACAAAAAAUUAAAAACACUUUAAUCCUUAAAGUUUAUAAAGUUUAAAAUUAC
Molecule: long non-coding RNA, 4001 nt
Organism: Equus caballus (horse)
Lineage: Eukaryota; Metazoa; Chordata; Mammalia; Perissodactyla; Equidae
Source: Ensembl